GCAUUGAGUUUAUUCUUGCGGGAAUUUAGGAGCCAUCAGUGAGAUACCACUCUGGUAAUGUUAGAUUUCUAACUUUGUAUCAUGAUCUGGUCAAAGAACAGUUUCAGGCGGGCAGUUUGACUGGGGCGGUCGCCUCCCAAAUGGUAACGGAGGCGUACAAAGGUUUCCUCUGAACGUGUAGAAAUCGUAUCUAGAGUGUAAAGGCAUAAGGAAGCUUGACUGUGAGACCUACAAGUCGAGCAGGGACGAAAGUCGGUCUUAGUGAUCUGACGGUGCUGAGUGGAAAGGCCGUCACUCAACGGAUAAAAGUUACUCUAGGGAUAACAGGCU
This 330-nucleotide ribosomal RNA is filed under the name uncultured eukaryote. RNAcentral's name for it is "LSU rRNA". It matches the Rfam family "Bacterial large subunit ribosomal RNA", at positions 2154 to 2483 of the family's 2925-position model. The record is from RNAcentral.